ACUUAAAUGUGAACCAUCUCUUUGAUAAGCUGAAGUUGAAUGAGCUCAUUAAGUUUUUAGUAUGAUUUUUUUUUUUUUGGUGAUUCUCCUCUGAACUAUGCGCCUAUUUUCAAAAUCUUUGUUGAGGUUUGAGCACUGCAAAUGUGGAACAGCAGACAAACACGAGUCACCUGUCUUGUGCACUUUCAGUCAUGAUAUUGCUUUGAAGCUCACCCAUGAGUAACUGUUCCGCAAAGCCCUCCUCUCCCCUAGCUUUUUCAUUGCAUCUCAGCUUCCCAGACAAGGGCACCACCACCACCACGUAUAGAUAGUCCACACUUGGUGUUAGCUUGAGGCUUUUCCACUAGGUUUAAUUUAUGGCCAUGGUGAAAGCAGAACUCAUGGGACAAGAAGCUAGGAGAUGGAGCGGAGCCCUAGGGGGCCAGGUGGGAGUGCUGGUGGGUCAUGCUGGGAAGCAUCAUGAGCUGCUGGGAACAACUGGGAGGAAUCCACCUUGUUUAGGACUGCGCAGAUGGAAGGUGGAGCCUACAGAAAAGUCCUGCGAAAAGAGGCAUCUGACAACUGCCUUCUCCAGCAGAGCAAUUCUGCUGCCCCAUUGUUUUUACCUGUUGGCUUAGGUAGGAACCUAUUUUUGUCUAUGCCGAAAAGCAGAUCUGCUUAAGUUUUUUACCCCUGGAAGUACGGCCUUGAGCUUGUCUGUAUGGCCGUGUAUGUGUGUGUUCUGCUUGGAUAAUGCAGUUAUAAUAAUUGUUUAACAAUGGCAUGUUCUUCAGAUGAUGUUGCACUUCCUUGAUCUUUGCCAUGUAGGACCUUAUCAGUAACGGUUUCUGUUUUCUUCCAGGUCAUUGUUAACAACAUUGAAUGUUCACAAGUUUUAACUGGGGGAGGUGGAGAGAAGACUGGACAAAGCUUAAAACCAGCCACGAGAAGAGAAUUGCUGCAAAGCGAGGAAGGCUUUGGGGUGUUUUUCCACUCGUUGACAUGCAGAACAUCUUUAUAGGUUAUGGUUUUAUCUGACGCUCAGGAAGCCCACUUGGCUCUGUUUCCUGCUAACAUGCGGCCCUGGCUCACAAAAUCUCUGAGAACAACAGGCCUGAGACUGCUCGGCUCCAUUAAAAAAACUGGCAACUUUUCAAGCCCUGACAGAAAACCUUUGAAAGCUCUGGAUUUCCUCCAACUAACGUAUGAGGCUCCUACAUCGGUGACAAAUUAGACUGAAACAGCACAAAACGCUCCUAUUUUUCUUAGGCUCCAGGAGCAACCUUUCCUUCCUGGAAACCAGGACAAAAUGGCUGUUGUGAGCUCUUCGGCAAAAGGUCUGUGUCCAGCACUGAGCACAAGCCUCUAAAUGCUGCCAUUCCUCAACUAUUAAAUAAUAGUUAUAACAGGCACAACUGAUUCCUGAUUUCCCGAGGGACAGCAGAAGAGGCUUUUCACUGCGAUUCCAAAGGGACUCCUGCUUCCAAAAAUGCUUUCAAGUAUCGGAAUAGAUGUGACCUUUGAUGCUGAGAAUGCUAUUUUCUCCUGAGCUGACAUUUUACAAUAUUCUAAGAAAUCUUACCAUGAAGCCACUUCUCAUGUCUGUCAGUAAUGAUCAUAACUUCAGAAUAUUACACUUUUAUUCUUUUUUUU
Falco peregrinus (peregrine falcon) is the source of this 1632-nucleotide long non-coding RNA. RefSeq lists it as uncharacterized. Lineage: Eukaryota; Metazoa; Chordata; Aves; Falconiformes; Falconidae. The transcript has 5 exons. The record is from RefSeq and is a predicted model, not a curated record.